CGGGGAUGUCAUUCUACUAAACAAACCAAAAUAUAUCUUCAUAAUCUCAACUUAACAUUUCAGCAUAAGUUAAAGGUACAUUUAACCUUACAUCAAAAGUCUUACAUCAUACGCCUCUAAAAGUUCAGGUUUAUCACAAAAUACAUAUUUAAAACACUUCUCCCGAUUACAUAUACUACUACUAAAGUUUUAUUGCUAAUCCAACCAGGUCUAGCACUUCAGUUCACCACAUUUUUACCCUUGCCGGAAUAACCUUCUCCGGAAUCCUUUCCUGUAGAGUUAGUACAUGAAAAGAAAAGAUGAGCUCAUAAAGCUCAGCAAGCAUAUAUUGUACGAAUCAACUGAGUUUUAUUCACAAAGCUUUAAUUGAUAAAAUCAAUAAUUCCACAGAGUCAUCAAAACAGUUUCACACAUCGAGAUGAGUAUGAGUAUUCAAGCAUGUUCACAAGUUCACACAUUCUACUGUUGGGGAUCCCGGCCAGCUAAACAAUUGGUUUAGCUUUCCUUCCCGAAGGAAGUAUCACACUACUUCACAAAGGAAGCAUCACACACAGAACAAAUGUAAGAAUACUCAUUUCUCAUCAGAAAAUCAUCAAAACAAUGUUCGCCAAAACAUCAUAAAAUAUUACCAGUGAAGGGUACAGUAUAUACUUACAGUGUACAAUGUCCU
RNAcentral lists this long non-coding RNA (670 nucleotides) under Daucus carota (carrot). RNAcentral describes it as "long non-coding RNA (DCAR_LNC003738)". The record is from RNAcentral. Lineage: Eukaryota; Viridiplantae; Streptophyta; Magnoliopsida; Apiales; Apiaceae.